Molecule: unclassified non-coding RNA, 21 nt
Filed under: Mus musculus (house mouse)
Lineage: Eukaryota; Metazoa; Chordata; Mammalia; Rodentia; Muridae
Description: oocyte_clustered_small_RNA12502
Source: RNAcentral
UGUUCUCCCCAGCCCCAAGUG